UGGCACGAAGGGGUCUACAGAGCCAC
This 26-nucleotide non-coding RNA is filed under the name Homo sapiens (human). The record is from RNAcentral. Lineage: Eukaryota; Metazoa; Chordata; Mammalia; Primates; Hominidae.